GACGAACGCUGGCGGCGUGCUUAACACAUGCAAGUCGAGCGGUAAGGCCUUUCGGGGUACACGAGCGGCGAACGGGUGAGUAACACGUGGGUGAUCUGCCCUGCACUUCGGGAUAAGCCUGGGAAACUGGGUCUAAUACCGGAUAUGACCUCCUAUCGCAUGGUGGGUGGUGGAAAGAUUUAUCGGUGCAGGAUGGGCCCGCGGCCUAUCAGCUUGUUGGUGGGGUAAUGGCCUACCAAGGCGACGACGGGUAGCCGACCUGAGAGGGUGACCGGCCACACUGGGACUGGGACACGGCCCAGACUCCUACGGGAGGCAGCAGUGGGGAAUAUUGCACAAUGGGCGAAAGCCUGAUGCAGCGACGCCGCGUGAGGGAUGACGGCCUUCGGGUUGUAAACCUCUUUCAGCAGGGACGAAGCGCAAGUGACGGUACCUGCAGAAGAAGCACCGGCUAACUACGUG
This 462-nucleotide ribosomal RNA is filed under the name uncultured bacterium. RNAcentral describes it as "partial 16S ribosomal RNA". It matches the Rfam family "Bacterial small subunit ribosomal RNA", at positions 28 to 507 of the family's 1533-position model. The record is from RNAcentral.